This 525-nucleotide unclassified non-coding RNA is filed under the name Hevea brasiliensis (rubber tree). Lineage: Eukaryota; Viridiplantae; Streptophyta; Magnoliopsida; Malpighiales; Euphorbiaceae. The record is from RNAcentral.
GGUUCUGGUGGCAAUUUGGGUAUAACUCAUGCUUCAUAAAGAACCACACACUUGUGUAUCUACGACUCAUUAUGGGGUUUGCUGGACAAUUCCUUUGCAGUUAUAGCACCUUGCCACUCUAUGCCCUGGUUACACAGAUGGGUACAAACUAUAAGGCUGCACUGAUUCCACAGAGAAUAAGAGAAACGAUCCACGGAUGGGGAAAGGCAGCAAGAAGAAAAAGGAGGAUGCGUAUGUUCCCAGACGAUUCAACUGUCCACACUGAUACAAGCACCGUAAUGUCACUCGAGGAAUAUGAUAAUGACCAGUUGGUUGAUAGCCCUCGAACAGUGCAUGGUGCAGGUACAGAAAUUGAGUUGCAGCCACCACCAACUGUCACGGAGGAUCAUCAUCAUUCAGUAACAAUUAACGACACUUCAAGUCGUAUUGGUACUCCUCUCCUUCGUCCCUGUGCUUCUAUUUCUUCCGCAACUUCUCCAACUCUUCCACCUGAAGUAAUAUCAAGAUCAUCUUCAAUGCCUGCUA